GUCGAACGGCAGCAUGAUCUAGCUUGCUAGAUUGAUGGCGAGUGGCGAACGGGUGAGUAAUACAUCGGAACGUGCCCUGUAGUGGGGGAUAACUAGUCGAAAGAUUAGCUAAUACCGCAUACGACCUGAGGGUGAAAGUGGGGGACCGCAAGGCCUCAUGCUAUAGGAGCGGCCGAUGUCUGAUUAGCUAGUUGGUGGGGUAAAGGCCCACCAAGGCGACGAUCAGUAGCUGGUCUGAGAGGACGAUCAGCCACACUGGGACUGAGACACGGCCCAGACUCCUACGGGAGGCAGCAGUGGGGAAUUUUGGACAAUGGGCGAAAGCCUGAUCCAGCAAUGCCGCGUGUGUGAAGAAGGCCUUCGGGUUGUAAAGCACUUUUGUCCGGAAAGAAAUGGCUCUGGUUAAUACCUGGGGUCGAUGACGGUACCGGAAGAAUAAGGACCGGCUAACUACGUGCCAGCAGCCGCGGUAAUACGUAGGGUCCAAGCGUUAAUCGGAAUUACUGGGCGUAAAGCGUGCGCAGGCGGUUGUGCAAGACCGAUGUGAAAUCCCCGAGCUUAACUUGGGAAUUGCAUUGGUGACUGCACGGCUAGAGUGUGUCAGAGGGGGGUAGAAUUCCACGUGUAGCAGUGAAAUGCGUAGAGAUGUGGAGGAAUACCGAUGGCGAAGGCAGCCCCCUGGGAUAACACUGACGCUCAUGCACGAAAGCGUGGGGAGCAAACAGGAUUAGAUACCCUGGUAGUCCACGCCCUAAACGAUG
This 761-nucleotide ribosomal RNA is filed under the name uncultured microorganism. Its description in RNAcentral is "bacterial SSU rRNA". It matches the Rfam family "Bacterial small subunit ribosomal RNA", at positions 61 to 811 of the family's 1533-position model. The record is from RNAcentral.